CAGGUCCAGCUGUGCUCCAAGAUUAUCUUUCCUUCUAUAGCUCACUAGACCUUCUUAUGCUCACAGGAGUGCCAUCCCUCACUCCAGAGCCAUCCUCAGAAUUCUAAAGCAGAAUUAGAAAAAUCCUUGCUCUACCAGCCUGGGCAACAUAAGGAGAUCCUGCCUCUACAAAAAAUGAAAUGUAGUCCCAGCUACUCAGGAGGCAGAGGUAGGAGGAUCACUGGAGCCCAAGAGUUCGAGGCUACAGUGAGCUAUGAUCGAGCUGUUGCACCCCAGCCUGGGCCACAGAGCGAGACCCGCCUCUAAAGCAAUAAUAAUAGUGAAAAAUUUUUAAAUAAAUAAAAAAGAAAAAUUCUCACUCUUUAGCUAUUGAAUUUUGUGGCGGUGAUUUCUUCAGAAACUGCCUCUUCCCACCCCCACUCCACCCACAGAGAGGAUGAGCUACAUCCGUACAGAGCCUGGCACUCCGGAUGCUGGCGGAAUUGAUUCAGUAGCAUGAGCAGGAAGGUCCAUUUGAAGAGAUCACUCCAAAACAGCGGUUCGCAACAAGAAUGGUUCAUGCAGGACAGAAAAAGGAGAGACAAAGGACUGUCAGGAGAGUGACCGGUCCAAAUGAGGACUCAGGAACCCCCAGUGGAUCCAGAGAGAAAAACACUCUGGGGCUUUCUUCCAUGUCCCGUUGGCCAGAGCAGACCCUGGAAAGAAGCCCUCCCCAAGGCGCCUUGUUGACUACGGCCAAGACCUGGCCCAGUGCUGGACACCAGUCUAUGUCAAGAAAGGCACAAAAAGGACCAACAAAUAAUACUGACAUGGUGCUUUGGAUCCAGGAGGCCUUGCGGUACCAGGAGAGGAAUACUGAUGGUCCCAUCUGGAGAAUGGGAAAGGUGAGGCAUUGAGAGGGUGAAAUACUUUCAGGCAUAGUUGAGGGGGUACCAGGAAAUUUAACGGGGAGACUCUAUUUCCUGGGGGCAGGUGGAGAAGGUACACGGCCAUUGAUAGUGAACACAACUCUCAACAAAGAGGUAAUUCCAGCUCUUCGGCCACCACAGUAAAGCAGCCAAGGAUACCCUAAUUGUCCUCAGAGAAGUGAUGAUUCCUUCACAGAGGGAAUCCUACACUCCAAACUCUCUGGGGCCCACCCUUGAGACUGCAUGCAGGGCUGGAGAUUUAGGCAGGAACAGCCUGGGCAGGCACGUAAGGUAGCUCUGCUUCUUAAGGCAUGACUGCUGUCUUCAUGGAGUGGGCCCCACCCUGCAAGGAAGCUUAAUGGAAUAGAACACUGCUGCCAAAGGAAUCCACCCCCUCCAGGGGCUGGGGGCUUCUAUUAAAGCUAAACAGCAUCACCAAACCAACCAAUUUCCUGUGCCGCUUGGUAGAAUAAGGAGGGAGGGGGCAAAGGACAAAAAUCGAACAUUAUCUGCAGAUGAUUGUCUAACUAGAAAAUCCAAGGGACUGAACUGAAAAACUAUCAAAACUGGUGAGAAUUUGGUCAGGUGGCCGAUUAAAAGUCAGGUCUAAAAAAUCAACUGUUUUUUGGAUCAUUUGGGCAUUGCUUGACACCCUGGAGGAGCUGUGUUUUUCUGCGAGGCCUCCGCGCUUUGUGCAGCUUGCCAUAUUUUGAAAGAUGGAGGUGAGCCAGGGUGAUGUUCCCUCAGCAGUAGCAACUCUGUCUCAGACACCAAUGUCGAACAGGUGCCUGGGGCAACUGCUGCAGAAGGGGUGGGGACAACCACCUCUGCCCUCUCCUGGGGGUCUCUCUCACCAGUCCUGAUCAGCCCCUUUCCCCCAAGCUUCUCUAUUCCAGCCCAAGAGACACAUAGGGAAGUCUGGCAAGGGUCAGUGCAGGAGCCAUCAAGGGUGGAUGCGGGCAGAUUGUGCUGUCAUCUCCAAACGAAGUAAGUUUUAAAAACAAAGAGGGCCAGCUGAUAGGUCCCACAUGUCUGUACUGUUGUUGCCUCAUUGGUCAGAAGCCUUGAGAGGCCACCGCGCUGCGCACUGAGCAGGGACUCCCACGAUGGUCAAAGUGGUCCAGGGAGGCCCCACGGGGCUGUGCUUGCCAAUCUGACUAGCGAAGAGUUGCAGUUAUUUGCGGUCCAGGCUGGCGUGUAGCUGGGCUUCCCGCACCAUACGGUCGAAGGAACGUGUGUUGGUCUCCUCCCGCACCUUCUCGCGCACGUGGAAGGAGGCCCGGGCUGUGGAGCGGGAGCUCUCUAGCGCACUGCGCCGUUCCCGCGACAAUUGCUCGCUGCGCUCCAGCUUGCGCCCGAUGGCCUGGAGUAGCUCUCGCCGGCGGCAGUCUUCGUCCCUCUCCACCUUCUCUUUGUUGGCACGCUGGGCUCGUUCCUUCUCCAGCCGGCUCUGGCCCACGCGCCGCGCCUUCUGCUGCACUGCUUCCUCGGCCACCUGCGUCGCGUGCUGCAGCCGUCGCUCCCCCGCCCGGGCC
RNAcentral lists this long non-coding RNA (2443 nucleotides) under Macaca fascicularis (crab-eating macaque). Its description in RNAcentral is "lncRNA (ENSMFAG00000060527.1)". The record is from RNAcentral. Lineage: Eukaryota; Metazoa; Chordata; Mammalia; Primates; Cercopithecidae.